This 104-nucleotide non-coding RNA is filed under the name Desulfosporosinus orientis. Its description in RNAcentral is "TPP sequence". It matches the Rfam family "TPP riboswitch aptamer (THI element)". From Rfam's summary of the family: Vitamin B(1) in its active form thiamin pyrophosphate (TPP) is an essential coenzyme that is synthesised by coupling of pyrimidine and thiazole moieties in bacteria. The previously detected thiamin-regulatory element, thi box was extended, resulting in a new, highly conserved RNA secondary structure, the THI element, which is widely distributed in eubacteria and also occurs in some archaea. Analysis of operon structures identified a large number of new candidate thiamin-regulated genes, mostly transporters, in various prokaryotic organisms. The record is from RNAcentral. Lineage: Bacteria; Bacillati; Bacillota; Clostridia; Eubacteriales; Desulfitobacteriaceae. RNAcentral also lists the same sequence under 1 other name.
AAUAUGGAAUAGGGGAGCUAGAGUAACUGGCUGAGAGGGACAAUAAGUCCGACCCUUAACCUGAUCUGGGUAAUGCCAGCGUAGGGAGGAUAGAUAAAAAAAAA